AACGAACGCUGGCGGCAGGCCUAGCACAUGCAAGUCGAGCGCGCCCUUCGGGGUGAGCGGCGGACGGGUGAGUAACGCGUGGGAACGUGCCCUUCUCUGCGGAAUAGCCUCGGGAAGCUGAGAGUAAUACCGCAUACGCCCUUUGGGGGAAAGAUUUAUCGGAGAAGGAUCGGCCCGCGUUGGAUUAGGUAGUUGGUGGGGUAAUGGCCCACCAAGCCGACGAUCCAUAGCUGGUUUGAGAGGAUGAUCAGCCACACUGGGACUGAGACACGGCCCAGCCUCCUACGGGAGGCAGCAGUGGGGAAUCUUAGACAAUGGGGGCAACCCUGAUCUAGCCAUGCCGCGUGAGUGAUGAAGGCCUUAGGGUUGUAAAGCUCUUUCAGCUGGGAAGAUAAUGACGGUACCAGCAGAAGAAGCCCCGGCUAACUCCGU
This 432-nucleotide ribosomal RNA is filed under the name uncultured bacterium. Its description in RNAcentral is "partial 16S ribosomal RNA". It matches the Rfam family "Bacterial small subunit ribosomal RNA", at positions 29 to 506 of the family's 1533-position model. The record is from RNAcentral.